CUGGGCUUGACAUGCAGGGAAAUCUCACAGAGAUGUGGGGUCCGUAAGGGCCCUGCACAGGUGGUGCAUGGCUGUCGUCAGCUCGUGUCGUGAGAUGUUGGGUUAAGUCCCGCAACGAGCGCAACCCUCGCCUUUAGUUGCCAUCAUUCAGUUGGGCACUCUAGAGGGACCGCCGGCGACAAGCCGGAGGAAGGUGGGGAUGACGUCAAGUCCUCAUGGCCCUUACGGGCUGGGCUACACACGUGCUACAAUGGCGGUGACAAUGGGACGCUAAGGGGCAACCCUUCGCAAAUCUCAAAAAGCCGUCUCAGUUCGGAUUGGGCUCUGCAACUCGAGCCCAUGAAGUUGGAAUCGCUAGUAAUCGUGGAUCAGCACGCCACGGUGAAUACGUUCCC
RNAcentral lists this ribosomal RNA (395 nucleotides) under uncultured bacterium. Its description in RNAcentral is "bacterial SSU rRNA". It matches the Rfam family "Bacterial small subunit ribosomal RNA", at positions 975 to 1375 of the family's 1533-position model. The record is from RNAcentral.